Molecule: transfer RNA, 72 nt
Filed under: Camelus bactrianus (Bactrian camel)
Lineage: Eukaryota; Metazoa; Chordata; Mammalia; Artiodactyla; Camelidae
Also listed under: 2 other names
Rfam family: tRNA
About the family: Transfer RNA (tRNA) molecules are approximately 80 nucleotides in length.
Source: Rfam by way of RNAcentral
GAGGAUGUAGCUCAGUGGUAGAGUGCAUGCUUAGCAUGCAUGAGGUCCUGGGUUCAAUCCCCAGUACCUGCA